GUCAGUGUGCUCUCACAAGCUGGAAUCAAAGCCUCUUAACAUGGCAGAUGAUUUGGACUUUGAGACAGGAGAUGCAGGAGCCUCAGUCACCAUCCCAAUACAGUGCUCAGCAUCACUCACAAUGACUUUUGUGGUGCUCAAAGGCGGGCCAUGUAAGAUCAUCAAGAUUUCUACUUUGAAUACUGGCAGGCAUGGCCAUGGCAAGGUCCAAAUAGUUGGUAUUGCCAUUUUUACCUGGAAAAAAUAUGAAAACAUCUGUCCGUCAACUCAUAAUGUGGAUGUCAUCCACAUCAAAAGGAAUGACUGACUUCCAGCUGAUUGGUAUCCAGGAUGGGUACCUAUCACUGCUCUAGGACAGUGGAAAGGUGUUAGAGGACCUUCAUUUGCCUGAAGGAGGCCUUGGCAAGGUGACUGAGCAGAAGUAUUACUGUAAAAAGAUCCUGAUCACGGUGUGGCCUGCCACAACAGAGGAGGCAACUGUUGUAAUCAAAGACAUGGCAAAACUACUGGCUCCCAGGAGUGCCUUUAACUUGGCCUAA
Nannospalax galili (Upper Galilee mountains blind mole rat) is the source of this 539-nucleotide RNA transcript. It is a transcript of the gene named eukaryotic translation initiation factor 5A-1-like, with no coding region annotated. The transcript is spliced from 2 exons. The record is from RefSeq and is a predicted model, not a curated record. NCBI's taxonomy places the organism in Eukaryota, Metazoa, Chordata, Mammalia, Rodentia, Spalacidae.